Long non-coding RNA from Ananas comosus (pineapple), 1157 nucleotides. RefSeq lists it as uncharacterized. The record is from RefSeq and is a predicted model, not a curated record. Lineage: Eukaryota; Viridiplantae; Streptophyta; Magnoliopsida; Poales; Bromeliaceae. The transcript has 8 exons.
CCAAAGGCUGAGACCCCAUUUCCCUCUUCUCCUUAUCCUCUAAUUCCCUCUCUCUCUCUAAGCUAAGAAGAGUUGAAGGGAAUUGGUGCUGGCAGCUUUGGAGGCUUGAGGGCUGAAGUGCAAAUCUGAUCCCAGCAGUAAACUUCUGCUGAUUGGAAAUACUACAAGACCUGGAAAGCAUCUAAUCAAGCUUGACGAAAUUGGAUUCUUUUACUGUUUUGAGCUGAGAACAACCUGUCAAAGCUUAAAUUAAGGAGUGACAGGAGUUGAAGCUUGACUGAUUUGAGUUGUCGAAUUGAGAAGUUGUUGUUGUUGAAGCUGAGGGCAAUCUGGUAGGAGCUUAAACUAAGGAAUUAAGUGGAAUUGCUGAAACAUCUUGGAGCAACAACUAAUCAAGCUGACAGCUUGAUGAAAUGAUGAUGUUGGUGUUGCCGAAAUGCAGGAAUGGGUCUUUGAUGCAGUAAGCAAGCAAUCCAGCAUCUGAUUAAGUGGCCAAAGUGAAGUGAAGACUUGUUAGUGCUGCCGAGUUCAUGAAUUCAGCUGAGAAGGUUUAGAACUUGAGAUUUGAAGUGAUCAAGUUGGUGCUGCCAGGAUCUGAUAUUGGACUAUUUGAAGUAGUAAGCUGAAAUCAAGUUGGUGAAUGGUACUUGGACAACGAAUUAGGGCUGCAGCUGGGCUGAAGUGGCUGUUCUUGGUGUUCGAAUUGAGGAGGGGUCUAGUAGAGCUUAAUUGCUGUUGGAAUUCGAAACAAGUAAUUAAAAGCUGAGCUUGGACUGCAACAGAGAGAGACCAAGUGGAAGCUUCAGCUGAGAGUAACUUGUUAAAGACAUUUGAUUGAGGUCGACGACGCUCUAAUUACGGUAGAGGCCGUUCCAGUUUUACUUGCAUUGAGUCGCGAAAGUUAGUUGUCGACGCAUUUCGAGACAUUGAUCUUAGUUGAUUGACACCACUACAGGUUCCAGUGCGAGCGUUGUGGCCGAGGAUCGAGGCAAGAGCCCAGCAGCCUAGCUAGUGGACACCCGAGUUUUAGUGGUUACCAGUUUGAGUUCAUGUAUCAUCUAUUUCGAUGUACAGAGACAUGUAAAUGAAUGUAAUAAAGUGCAUGUAAAUAAUUAAAUGUUUCAGUUAUGCAAGUUAGUUUAAAGUUUUAAAUUACA